GCCGGGAUGGUCUAAUCAGUUAAGGCGUCGCCUCGGGCAGGCGAAGGUUGCGGGUUCAAUCCCCACUCCAGGCC
RNAcentral lists this transfer RNA (74 nucleotides) under Ixodes scapularis (black-legged tick). Its description in RNAcentral is "tRNA-Pro for anticodon GGG". It matches the Rfam family "tRNA". From Rfam's summary of the family: Transfer RNA (tRNA) molecules are approximately 80 nucleotides in length. Their secondary structure includes four short double-helical elements and three loops (D, anti-codon, and T loops). The record is from RNAcentral. Lineage: Eukaryota; Metazoa; Arthropoda; Arachnida; Ixodida; Ixodidae.